RNAcentral lists this ribosomal RNA (253 nucleotides) under uncultured bacterium. Its description in RNAcentral is "partial 16S ribosomal RNA". It matches the Rfam family "Bacterial small subunit ribosomal RNA", at positions 524 to 776 of the family's 1533-position model. The record is from RNAcentral.
GCCGAACCGAGCGAACGUUGUUCGGAAUCACUGGGCUUAAAGGGCGCGUAGGCGGGUGAUCAAGUCCGGGGUGAAAUCCUCCAGCUCAACUGGAGAACUGCCUCGGAUACUGGUUGCCUCGAGGAAGGUAGGGGUGUGUGGAACGUUCAGUGGAGCGGUGAAAUGCAUUGAUAUUGAACGGAACUCCGGUGGCGAAGGCGACACACUGGACCUUUUCUGACGCUGAGGCGCGAAAGCUAGGGGAGAAAACGGG